UGUUCUUCUCCAGCACCGCUGCCAACGUCGCCUGUUCUUCUCCUUCAGUGGCGCCACUGACGUCAUAUCUCCGAGCCCGUCCGCCCGUCUUCUUUAGUGUCGUGUGUUCUCUUCCAUCAGCGCCUCUUAUUAUUCGAUUUCUCUGUUUUGUAUAUUCAGACAUCUGAAGCUUCAAAUGUGUUUGACCACUUAAUAAGUAAGGGCGUGAAACCAAACUCGACGACAUACUCUCUGUUUGUUAACACUCAUCUCAUUAAGCGAGACCAAAAAGCAGCUCUCUCUGUUAUCAAUGAGAUGGUAAAUUCAGGAUUUGAACCAUCAAGGGAAAUGCUAAAAAAGGUCAGAAGGUGAUGUAUACGAGAGAUGGACUACAAGAGUGAUGACCAGGUCGAGUCCCUGGCUAGAAAGUACAAAAUCCAAAUGGGUAUGGAGAAUUGCCGGGACUUGCUGUUUAAUCUCCAGUACAGCACUGCUUACGCAUGAUAGGUAACUUCUGAUACACAAAAGGAAAUACAUGCGUCAUUUAAAAUGGUUUCAAAUUCAAGCUUUAUUUUGGUCUGUUUGGAAACCAUAGCGAAGGAAUUUUAUUAUCAACCAUCAUUUACUUUCAUUUACGCUCCAUUUGUUUAGCUUGAUUUUGGUGUCUGUCUGGAAACAUAGCAAAGGAAUUUGAUUAUCAAUCAUCAUUUAAUUACAUUUACACCCCAAGAACAUGGGAGGAAUAAAAAAGAAAAGAUUAGUCUCUUUAAUAACUGAUUUGGGGAUUGGAACUACUACUGUACUUCUGUUAGAUUAAGCAGCAAACAGGAGCAUAACACACUGAUGUGGGAGCUUUAAUAUGUAUUCUUUAUAUCAUUGAUUAAAAUAAUUGACAGUAUGAGUACAUACAUGCUCAUCUACCCCUCCAGAAAUUGGACUUGAUUUGUGAAAUAAAAAAUGACUUCCAUUUUUUUUUUUUUUUUUAUACGAAGACU
This is a non-coding RNA of Camellia sinensis, 974 nucleotides long. Lineage: Eukaryota; Viridiplantae; Streptophyta; Magnoliopsida; Ericales; Theaceae. The record is from RefSeq and is a predicted model, not a curated record.